RNAcentral lists this small nuclear RNA (103 nucleotides) under Neotoma lepida (desert woodrat). The record is from RNAcentral. Lineage: Eukaryota; Metazoa; Chordata; Mammalia; Rodentia; Cricetidae.
GUGCCACCACUGCCCAGCUAAAAUUACUGGAAUGCUACAGAGAAGUUUAGCAUGGCUACUGUGUGAGNGUGACACACAAACUUAUGAAAGUCACCUAUCUUAU